AUUGUCGGGGCAGCCAAAGGAAUAGUAACGCAGUGGAGAGCAGUCCAUGAUUUAAUGCACUGAAACCAACAGCCUCGGCCCCCAACACGCACACGCAGGCUGGGCAGCUCCUUCUCAGGGGCCCGCACUGCCUCCUUCUCCUUGGCAGGUGUCUUCUUGGGGCCACACGGUGGAACAGCCCUGUCUACAGCCUUGCUUGCUGCCCCUGCGGUGUGGAGACAGCAUCACUCUUGCCCAGGAUGCCUGGCUGCCUCUCAGGGGCAAGGGGGUGAGACCUUGAUUUUGUGGGCCUAUAGCAGCCUCUUUCUAGUCAGAUAAAGGCUCAAAACCUCCUUCCUACCUUCCUCCCUUCCUCCUGGCCUGAGGCAGUCACCCUCAUAGCCCUGUAGAGUCUUCAGAGAAGUGGCAAUUCAAAGGCUGAAUGCUCCAUUAUGUGGCUCCGGCAAAUGGCUUGUCUCCCGUGGAGAGAUACAAAGGAGUGGGUCUUUGGCAGGCUAGAGAUGCUCUGAUCCACCCGCGGUGCUGUGGAGCACGCCGGUGCCUUGCGUGUGUUCUGGCCCAGAGCCUACUGGGCCAUGAUUUGUGUAUCUUUUGUAAAGUGCCAUGCGUGAGCCGGAUCGGCCCUGACAUAAUUACUGGAAUAUUUUAAUAUGAGGAAGAGUCUCUGAGUCAUCUGCUCACACACCUCCACCGGGGCCCCAUCUUAGCCAGGACACUGGUCAGAGACAGUUUGUCUUCCUCUGAUUGGGAAGUGACAACUCAGCCUCCCCAGAGGGAGGGCUGAGCACAGAGAGACACCUGCAAGGAGAGAAGCAGCUUCAGGGAACCGCCCAGAAAAUAAAGGGCCCUUGGGAUCCUGCAGCUCCCAUCCUCAGGCCAGAGGGAGCAGUGCAACAAAGGGGGCCGGCCUCUGCUGACAUCAGCGAGACCCCAAAUAACAAGACCCUAGAAAGAAGCUUUGUCAGACCAAAUCUGGGGAGGCGGAGGGGAGGAGGAAGGAAAGCCCUCGGGAAGCCACGCUCUCACUCCUCUCCAUGGGGCUCUGGGGUGGAGACGUGAGAAAAAGGUAACUGAAGCCUGAGUUGACAAAGCCUGAGACAGAGAAAAUGUACGGUUGUAAUGAAAUAAAGCUUACAGUCAACUUCAUCUGACACACAUAGAAUGAUAGGCAGAAUCUUUACUGUGCUGUUGGCUCUCAGUCCUAAAUGACCAUCGGCUCACUCACAUAACCGCGGUUAGUGUGCCUCUCACAGGGGCACACUCUGCACUUCUGGGGUCUGCGGAGGGGAGCCCAGUCCUGCCGCACAGCUGCUGUUCUCCAGAUCCUCGAGGCCGAGACCCUUCCACUCUCUAGGGAGAGGAUGCUCCAGCAUGGAAACGAAAAGUGAUAAUAAAGAAAGAAAAGAAGAAAGGCGUCACAGUGGAAAAGACCAAGCAGAUCAAGAGGAAUAAAAGACAAACCACAGACUGGGAGAAAAUAUUUGCAGAAGAUAUAUACGACAAAGGACUCUUGUCUAAAAUAUACAAAGAACUCUUAAAACUCAACAAAAACAAAAUAGACAAUUUGAUUAAAAACUGAGCCAAGACUUUAACAGACACCUUACCAAAGAAGACAUACAGAUGGCAAAGAAGCGUAAGAAAAGAUGCCCCACGUUUUAAGUCAUCAGGGAAAUGCAAAUUAAAACAACAACUACUACACACCUAGUAGAAUGGCCAAAAUCCAGAAUACUGAUAACACCAAAUGCUGACAAGGGUGUGGAGCAACAGGAAUUCUCGUUCAUUGCUGGUGGGAAUGCAAAAUGGCACAGUCUUGUUGGAAGGCAGUUUGGCAGUUUCUUGCAAAAGCUAAACGUACCCUUAGCAUAUGAUCCAGCAGUUGUGCUCCUUGGGAUCCACAUGCAGACCUGUCCAUGGGUGUUCAUAGCAGCUUUGUGCAUAAUUGCCCAAAUGGGAGCAACCAAGAUGUCCUGCGGUAGGUGAAUGGGUUAAUAAACUGUGGCACAUUCA
Molecule: long non-coding RNA, 2007 nt
Organism: Gorilla gorilla gorilla (western lowland gorilla)
Lineage: Eukaryota; Metazoa; Chordata; Mammalia; Primates; Hominidae
Exons: 2
Source: RefSeq, a predicted model, not a curated record